GUUUAGGACAGUUUUUAAAACUCUCAAACCACAGCUGAACCAAACCAAACCGGUUCGGUUCGAUUUUUCAAAAUGUUGACUUUUUCUUUGGUCAAAACCAAACCAAACCAAUCCAAUAUAAUCGGUUCGGCCGGAUUGACCGGAUCGGCCGGAUUGAUGCCCACCCCUACAGAUAGGGCCUUGCAGAGGCAAUAUCUAUAUACGGAAAUGUGGCACCGUUUUCAGGAUCUCAAUAUUUUCUCGAAUCCCCAUAUUCACUUUUUCCUUUUCAGAUUCCAAACAUUCACGCGACCUCUAU
RNAcentral lists this long non-coding RNA (298 nucleotides) under Prunus persica (peach). RNAcentral's name for it is "long non-coding RNA (PPER_LNC003213)". The record is from RNAcentral. Lineage: Eukaryota; Viridiplantae; Streptophyta; Magnoliopsida; Rosales; Rosaceae.